This is a long non-coding RNA of Astatotilapia calliptera (eastern happy), 307 nucleotides long. NCBI's taxonomy places the organism in Eukaryota, Metazoa, Chordata, Actinopteri, Cichliformes, Cichlidae. The record is from Ensembl.
CUCCCACGAGUCCAUACCCAACCAUUCGAAUGAAGGAUAAGAGUUGGACAACUGCCCUCUUAAGACAGUUUCGCUGUGUUGUGACAGUUGAAGGAGUGGAUGUUUGCUCGUGCCGCUCGCUGGAUGAGGCCUACAUCUCAGCAUUCUCCACCUUCUUCGUGUUCAACAUGACCUACCCUGCAUACUUCAAGAAAACACUUGUCUUUCUUCAGAACUGCAUUGUCAACAUAGGAGACCAGGGAGACAAACCCCUGCCAAUGAAGCUAUGGCGGAGGGGCAGUUGUGUUCAGUGAAGGAGAGGUGAGGC